This 250-nucleotide ribosomal RNA is filed under the name uncultured bacterium. RNAcentral's name for it is "partial 16S ribosomal RNA". It matches the Rfam family "Bacterial small subunit ribosomal RNA", at positions 524 to 772 of the family's 1533-position model. The record is from RNAcentral.
UACCGAGACGGCAAGCGUUGUUCGGAAUUAUUGGGCGUAAAGAGCACGUAGGCGGCUGUGUAAGUCGGUUGUGAAAGCCUUCCGCUUAACGGAAGAACGGCAUCCGAUACUGCAUAGCUCGAGUGCGGGAGGGGAGAGUGGAACUUCUGGUGGAGCGGUGAAAUGCGUAGAUAUCAGAAGGAACACCGGCGGCGAAGGCGACUCUCUGGCCCGUAACUGACGCUGAGUGUGCGAAAGCUAGGGGAGCAAA